Molecule: long non-coding RNA, 283 nt
Organism: Cydia pomonella (codling moth)
Lineage: Eukaryota; Metazoa; Arthropoda; Insecta; Lepidoptera; Tortricidae
Exons: 2
Source: RefSeq, a predicted model, not a curated record
AAAAAAUUUCGCCCCCACUUUACGUGUAGGGGAGGUACCCUAAAAAAAAAAAUUUUUAGAUUUUAUUGUACGACUUUGUCGGCUUUAUUGAUUUAUAUAUCCAUGCCAAAUUUCAGCUUUCUAGCACUAACGACCACGGAGCAAAGCCUCGGACAGACAGACAGACGGACAUGGCGAAACUAUAAGGGUUCCGUUUUAUGCCAUUUGGCUACGGAACCCUAAAAAGGGACACCAACCUGUAUUUUGUUAAAUAUGCUUGUGAGAGAAUAAAUCAUUUUUCAUU